RNAcentral lists this ribosomal RNA (484 nucleotides) under uncultured bacterium. RNAcentral describes it as "partial 16S ribosomal RNA". It matches the Rfam family "Bacterial small subunit ribosomal RNA", at positions 30 to 507 of the family's 1533-position model. The record is from RNAcentral.
AUUGAACGCUGGCGGCAGGCCUAACACAUGCAAGUCGAGCGGAUGAAGGGAGCUUGCUCCUGGAUUCAGCGGCGGACGGGUGAGUAAUGCCCAGGAAUCUGCCUGGUAGUGGGGGAUAACGUCAGGAAACGGGCGCUAAUACCGCAUACGUCCUGAGGGAGAAAGUGGGGGAUCUUCGGACCUCACGCUAUCAGAUGAGCCUAGGUCGGAUUAGCUAGUUGGUGGGGUAAAGGCCUACCAAGGCGACGAUCCGUAACUGGUCUGAGAGGAUGAUCAGUCACACUGGAACUGAGACACGGUCCAGACUCCUACGGGAGGCAGCAGUGGGGAAUAUUGGACAAUGGGCGAAAGCCUGAUCCAGCCAUGCCGCGUGUGUGAAGAAGGUCUUCGGAUUGUAAAGCACUUUAAGUUGGGAGGAAGGGCAGUAAGUUAAUACCUUGCUGUUUUGACGUUACCAACAGAAUAAGCACCGGCUAACUUCGUG